Molecule: non-coding RNA, 174 nt
Organism: Schwartzia succinivorans DSM 10502
Lineage: Bacteria; Bacillati; Bacillota; Negativicutes; Selenomonadales; Selenomonadaceae
Source: Rfam
CGUUCGGAAGGGAUAAACGCUGAAAGCAUCUAAGCGUGAAGCCUGCCUUAAGAUGAGGUUUCUCACAGCACAAGCUGGUAAGGCACCUUGAAGACGACAAGGUUGAUAGGUUGGGAGUGGAAGUCCCGUGAGGGAUGAAGCGGACCAAUACUAAUAUGCCGAGGGCUUGACUUA